GACAGAGGCCCCGAGCGUUAGGCGGAAUCACUGGGCUUAAAGCGUGUGUAGGCGGAUCGUUAAGUGUCUUGUGAAAUCCCACGGCUCAACCGUGGAACUGCUGGGCAUACUGGCGAUCUUGGGCCAUUCAGGGGCGACCGGAACAAGCGGUGGAGCGGUGAAAUGCGUAGAUAUCGCUUGGAACGCCGAAGGUGAAAACAGGUCGCUGGGGAUGUGCCGACGCUGAGACACGAAAGCCAGGGGAGCAAACGGG
Molecule: ribosomal RNA, 253 nt
Filed under: uncultured bacterium
Lineage: Bacteria
Description: partial 16S ribosomal RNA
Rfam family: Bacterial small subunit ribosomal RNA
Source: RNAcentral